RNAcentral lists this transfer RNA (101 nucleotides) under Colletotrichum graminicola M1.001. RNAcentral describes it as "tRNA-Val for anticodon AAC". It matches the Rfam family "tRNA". Rfam says of the family: Transfer RNA (tRNA) molecules are approximately 80 nucleotides in length. Their secondary structure includes four short double-helical elements and three loops (D, anti-codon, and T loops). Lineage: Eukaryota; Fungi; Ascomycota; Sordariomycetes; Glomerellales; Glomerellaceae. The record is from Rfam by way of RNAcentral.
GGUCUGGUGGUGUAGUUGGUUAUCACGUCAGUCUAACAGGAUGAGGUCUCCCCCUCGAUUGAGCACACUGAAGGUCUCCGGUUCAAGUCCGGGCUAGAUCA